RNAcentral lists this ribosomal RNA (76 nucleotides) under Cyrtorchis acuminata. RNAcentral describes it as "partial 5.8S ribosomal RNA". It matches the Rfam family "5.8S ribosomal RNA", at positions 1 to 71 of the family's 154-position model. Rfam says of the family: 5.8S ribosomal RNA (5.8S rRNA) is a component of the large subunit of the eukaryotic ribosome. It is transcribed by RNA polymerase I as part of the 45S precursor that also contains 18S and 28S rRNA. The record is from RNAcentral. Lineage: Eukaryota; Viridiplantae; Streptophyta; Magnoliopsida; Asparagales; Orchidaceae.
GACACGACUCUCGGCAAUGGAUAUCUCGGCUCUCGCAUCGAUGAAGAGCGCAGCGAAAUGCGAUACUUGGGAUGAA